GGAUUUAUUUUAUUCGUUCUGGGGGCUUUCACAGCUUUAUGGCUGUUGGAUAUUUAUGUCCCCAAACUUGCAGCAAGUUUGGUGAAGGCCCCUACUUUUAUUUUAAUUUAGGUUUUUAAUUCUCUUUUGGUAGAUGGGCUCUAUAUUAAUAUUAAUCUUUUUAUUAUCACUGUUUUUUUUUAAGAGUCUCGGGGAGGGAACGUGUUUUGAGAGGUUUGGGUACUGUUUCACUUAUGGAACAUUUCCUUUGUGACUGGUCAGGGAGUCCUUCAGCCACACUGUACCCCUGCCCCCUUCCCCUGUGUUUUAUUUGUGCUGUAUUUGUUCUGCUUUUGACAAUGUGACUUUUUAUACAUGCUGCUGGUUCAAAAACUACAGAUUAAUUACUAAUUUUUCUUCUGGGAAGAUGUAUUUAACAAAGUGCUUGAAAUACUUAGGCUUUAACUAAGUGACAUCCCUUGUCACACAGACUUGCAGCCUAAAUUACAGUUGCUAUGGAGGAGGACAUUGACUGCUGUAUUUGUAAGCUGCCCCACAGCAAAUGUUGGUGUAGUGCCCUGUAAAGAACUAGAGAUUCCAGUCGAUGGAAGAAUGAGAAAAGAAAGCUGAAGUUCUUUCAGCUUGUCACUUUCAGGAAAACCUUUUCAUUGAUCACUUAAAUACACUGAACUUCACAGUAAUUUGUUGCAUCAGUGUACUGGGAAAAAAAUCAUCUUACUUUCUUGAAACCACGUGGGCUUGUUGCAUAUCCAAAAUUUGCUGAAGGUUAUGGCUAUCUGAAUUUACUACUUUUGCAGAAUAGCUUCCACCCUUUGUGAAGACAAACUGGUGCUGCUCACUUGGAGUAUGCUGAUUUUGAAUGCUUGAGGUGGCUUAAAGAGAGCUUCAGAAGAGCAAGUUUUGUCCAAGGAAGUUGUUAAUGUUUUUGUGGAGCACAAUCUGUAUUUCAUUUCUCCAGGAGUGGGAUCAGUAAUGACGCACUUGGAGAUUUUCAGUAAGUGGCAUUGAAGGAUAAGGAGUGGAUUUCUCAUGGGGGGCCCAAGUAGUCUCUGACUGGAAGUUGCCGUGUCCUCUGCUUACUGUUUCAGAGUAAUUGCUCAUUUCCUUACUGUGGUGCUACACUUAGGAACAGUGCUUUAAGAUACACCAGCACAACUGGUCAUUAUUUCACUUACUCAGUCUCUAGGAGCAUUUGGCUUAGUUCUUAUUUCCCCAGAGUAUCUAAAGAAGCCAUUUAACUAAGUAUUCAGCAUGACUUGUACUUCUUUAAGUAGCUGAAUCUCUGAAAGACUCCAGAUGGGGAAAAAAAACCAACAAAUUUUGGAUGGAUUGUGUUGAAUUUUGUCAUCAGUUUUCAUGUAAGAAUGAUGCAGCAUGGGGUAGUUUUUAUGCAGCUACUUGUAUUUAGCUUGUGUCACAAACAUGUAGCUGAAGUUCACACAAGUGCUUCAUUGUCUGUAAAUGAAGUGCCCUACUUAAAUCCACUUGGGCUACCUCAGUACAUUGAUAUUCUGGUGAGAGCUGAACAUUCUCAAAGCAAACUUCUGUUUUUAUUGGAGCUAAGUAGGUUUACAUGUUCAUGGAAAGUAUGUGCCAGGGAUGCAGUUCCUGUCUCCCUUGUUGUUGAUCAAGCUGUGUGUACUGAUGCUUCAAAGCAGAUGAGCCAUUUCUUUGUAUUUUUUGCAUGAUUUCACACACCACGUGACACUUCAUAGCAUCACAAUGCUAUGGAUUUUUUUUUUUUUUUUUUUUUUCUUAAAGCUUUUGGAAAAUUUCAAGAAAAUGAAUUUCACACUGCUUCUGAAAGAUGCAUUUGACUCCAGGAUAAUUCCAUGUACUGCUAUUCCAUGACAAUACCUUAUGAACUGAGGCUUUUUGCUCCAGGUUUUUCCUGUUGUUCAAACAUUCUUUGCUUCUACCCUUUACAUCGCUGUCCUUUUCUUUAAGUCUCCAUGGAUUGGACAGGACCAACCUGUUCCCUGUUUGGGUGUUGGUGUUUUUAGCAGGCUAUAUCCGUGUUACUCUGACCUGUUACCACAGACUAAUGUUUGUGCUUAAAUUUACAGCAACUAAUGAUGUGCAUUUUCCGUUUGCUUUGUGCCUCGUCCUAAAAGGUAUGUGUGCAGAGUACUGCUGUCUUUCUAGUCCAAAGGAUGGCAUGCUGACAAGGUGCAGGUAUCUGCUCAGCUGUCAGAAUAGCUGCCCUGUCGUCUCUUUAAAACAACCUGAAAAGUUCCCAUAGAUGGCAAAGGGUUCACAUCUUAUUCUUUUGGUGGAUCUUUGUUGGUGACCUCCUUCAUGCCUCGUGGAUCUAAGGAGGGUAGUACCAAAAGAAACUUACACUGUAAAUGGAAUUUAUUGAUUUGGAAGGUUGGCAGCAUUUUUACUGGCACUCCAGUGCGUGCUGUCAGUAUUGCAGCAGUGUCAUAAAGCUGUAUAAUGCACUGUGGAAUUUCAUUUCUAAUGACUGUCAUAUUUUAGUGAAUUGACUUUCAUAGGCAGUAGUGGAGGCAGGUUUUGGAGAGCUUGGUUUUUAAGAUUGUGGAGUGCUACAUAACUCUUCUUAAACAUUAGGAAUGCCCACUGGUGCUGAGGAGUGAAGGAGAGACGUAGAAAAGUACGUAGCACAGCAGGAGUUCUGGCUGGCUUUAGAACUAUUCUGUGCCAUGCCUGAUAACUGCUGUGAGCCGUAGUACUGUGAGGGCAGGCCAUCUCCAAACUUACCUUUUAAAAGUACAUAUGUACCUGCAGUCAAGGCAGCAUUACCAGGAAAUGCUGGCAGUUGCUUCAGAAAUGCAGUGACAGUGACUGCUGCGAUUUUCAGUCAGAACUAAGUGAGGUAAACAGGAGUUUGGGAGUGAGAAGUCUCAGAGGCAGCCCUGCAGGGGAUGGAGUGAGUGUUCAUUGAGUGGCUGAAGUGUUACGUAUGGAGCUGAUUUGUUUGGGAAGUUCUGAAAAAAACUUUCUGAUAAUUUUCUUGUAUUCUCCUUUAAACAGCAGCUUUAUGCAAUCUUUUGAUUAUCAGAGAAAUGCAGAUUUUUAUUCAGGCUCUACUGGAAGAAAAUACAGUUCUAGUGCAGAACUCAGAGAUUCUGUUGUAUAGUGAAUGCUCUUUUGCUCCGUGGAAGUUCUUGGGAGGUGUGAGGGAGCCAGGCGCCUCGGCGUGCCGCCUCUGCAGCCAGCAGCAUCCCGUCCUGAGCUGUGUGCUCCUGGCUGGUUCCUUCACUCCUUUGCUCUCAGCGUCCUGAUGAGUCUGUGCUGGCUGUCGGUGAGGACUUACAUUUGUGCACCGGACCUCUGUUGUGAGUAAUAACGCACCUUGUCUCUUCUGAACAAGUUUAUGCUGACUUGUUCUAUUGCUUUAGGCUCACCUGCAGUAGUACCAGGCAGCAGCACUGCCGCUUCAUAACGAUGAACUGAGCUUCUCUGCAGAUAAGUCCUGAGCAUACCUUAAUGCUCGUGUUUCUCAGGGAAGCUGAAACAUCCUGAGAAAACAGUAGAGAUUGAGUGCAAGCAGCAUGUUAACCACAAGCAGAUGAUCCACAUGUUGGCAUUACAGUGUGUUAGGUAACUACAUUGCAGCAGAUCCAGGUUUCUCACGUCUCAAAUUUUAUCUUAAAUCUUCCCUACAUCUUAACCACAUUCCCAGGUUCUUUUCAAAGAGGGUAGGUGUUGAAUUUCAACUUCCGCUGCCUUAAGUAAUCGGUAUCUAUAAAUGGUUUUGGAUGGUAGCAACUUAGAAUUACCCAAAAACUAUGCCAUACAACUAUGGAAACUGUUUCAGUGUCCCAGCUUAGGGAAGUAUAUAAUGCUGUGAAAUAAAGAUGUCAUGCAAAGCUUCUUUCUUUCUCUUUGUCCCCCCAUUGUGUUGUAGAAGUGUGUGAUACAUGCAGGCACUGACUUCUUUAGCUUCUAGUCGAAGAAAAUACAUUUUGCUCUUUCAUUUGUAAAGUCUAGAAUAAGAAAACACUUUAUGAGAGUAUUUAAUGAAGGACCCUGGCAAUGUAAGUAUUGUGAUUUCCUUUCUAUUUGUGUUAGGCAGUGGGGUUACCUUGUUAAACUUCUGGCUUGUUAUCAAAAUAACAGAAACGUAAAGGCAAAUUGAAAGUAAUUUUAUAGUUGCCUUCGCUUCAUAUGCUUUUCAUAAGUGACAAAUUGUAGUAAUUGAAGUUCGGCAGCUUUUUUAAUUGAAAAACUAAAUUACGGGUUGAACUCCUUGGUUUAAUACAAUUUGUGUUUUUGUCAACUAGCAGCAGAAUUUCAGCAUUUGCUACUUACUGGUAGAGAAGAAAUAUCCUACAGCACUGCCAGUACAGGUUAGUUUAAUCUGUAAGUACCUGAUGUUCCUAUUUGAAAUAAUAUGUUCAAAUGAUACCUUUUAAAUACAAAGGGAAUUUUGAUCUCUGUAAUGUCACUGUGUCUUUGUUACCUACUGCUGUGCUCAGUAGUGAGUGAAUACCUAGAUAAUCUUUUGAAGGUCUCUAAUGAUUUUAACUGUGCCUGUGGAUUAGGUACUAUGUGCAAGCCAGGCUGCCUUUGGUGUUUUAAAGUCAGCCAGUUCUCCAUUCAUUGCCUAUUGCAGAAGGCAGUUUUAUCAGUGAGCCAAUUACAGGAUACUUGUGCUGGGGAAUAAGCAGUUCAGUUUGUAAGAAUUUGUAGCUGUACUGUAACUUUUCUUUAGUUGUUAAUUAUUGUUGCUACCAAUAGAAUUUUGCUCUGUAUAGUUGGUAUGCCAGGAGCUGCUUGUUCUUUCACUUAUGGCCCACUUCUAGUUAAGCCUCGUAUGCUUCAUCUCCACACAUCACUGUGGGAGAUGAAAGUCUUCUGUGCUGUGGCACAUAGGAUAGGUUCACUGCUGGAUAAGCUGUGAAACUCUGUGCCUUAACUUACACUUGGUAAGUGAAUUAUCACACAGUGAAUUUGAGGGGCUCUUGGAAACCAUUGGUGGAUAAUUACACAAGGAUGUAGCAGUGCAGAACCCAGACAGACGUUUCACUGGCUCACGUAAUGCUUUUCACUAGUUAAGAGUGAAGUGACACUUCAGCAGUAUUGCUUGUUUGGGGGUUUUGAACUUGUAUGUAAUGUUGCAGGUCUCAUCAAAGAAAGGUGAGGUUUCAAGGGGAUUCCCAGUGCUUGUAAUAGUUGGACACAGCCCAUCUCCCAGCAUCUUUGUGUUGGUUUUCAGGCAUUCGCACUGAAUUGCUUUGCAAAAGUAGUGAUGUGUAAACUUCAAUAAUUUUGCUUGGGUGUUUUUCCCUAGAGGAAAACAAGAGUUGCAUAAUAAAUUUUGUAGCUUAUCUUUGCCUCUGUCUCCUACAACUUCAUGGCAUGUUUAAUAGGAAUUCCUCGCUGUGAGGCUGUUAUCUUAACAGACUGUGCCUCUUCCUUCUGCCUUGUGUAGUUGAUCCUCAUUUACUGAGCACUGUAAUAAUUAUUGUAAGUAAGAAUAAGUAACGGAUUGCUUUUGGCUGCUGGAUUACUAUUUGAAAACUCAGUUCUGCCCAUGGGUGAAUGCUGACCUGCACUACUUGCACCCCAGCUUGGCAAUGAAUGAGGUUCUUUACUUUUUCAUCAACAAACUGUAUUUCUUUGGGAUAGAUCCUAGUGUGAACUGCAGUGUUAUCUCUCUGUGAAACUUUAUGGCAGUUGAAGUAUUUUUUGGUAGAAUUAAGUUUAUUUUCUUUUGAGAUGGGACAAAACAGGAGGAAUCUGAGCUUUCAUAUUCAAGUGGGCAGUCUUAAGACGUAGCUCACCUUCUGAUGCAGUUACAGCAGCUGUACAGUCUGAUGCAGUUCUGAAGCAGUAAGUGGGGAACAGGGAGCCAGUUCACACUUUGAUUCAGACUUCUGCUUAAUGACUUCAGGUUGCCCAUUCGGAGACUUUAGUUACUGUGCAGCAAACUCAGACCUCCUGUUUACCUUCCUCAGGUGAAGCACAUUAUUGAAAUGUGUCCCUCUCUGCAGUAGCCCAGCUACAGAUGCCAGUAUGUCAGGAAUGUUCUUGUAACUUGAUGCAGCUCUUGUGUAAGUGGUAUGAAGGGGAUGCGAUCAGUGAUCUUUGAUCAAGGGCAAAAUAUUGAUGUUGAAUUUGAUUUCAGAAGGACUGGUAAGUAUGUGCAUUGCUUUAGUGCAUGCAGGCACCAAUAAUUGUAGCUUAAUUUUUAUAGCAUUCAGUUUACAAAGAAGAUUCAAAGAAAAUAUGGAGCAAACAUCAUUGGCAUCCCUUGGGAACCUUCUGUGAACUGUAUUUCAGGCAUAGAUAACUGCGCGUAUGUAUGUAUACAAACUGCUUUGAAACAGUCUCUGAUUAAAUAUAAGUAAAACACUGCUUCUGUGUAUUUUUCUUUCUCAUCUUGAGACCUAUUUAAAUUAAUGCAAGAAAUGUUAGCUGUUUCACAGUGUUUAUGAAACCCACUUUCCCUCAUGUUAUUUAAACCAUAACUCUUGACUCGUUCUCUGUAAACCAUUCAGGAACUUAGCAGUCUGUACCUGGAGAUGAGAAGUAAGUGAAUCUUUUUUAAUAUUUAACUUUUGGUGUUUAUCCACUGUCCUUUUUCUGAACUGAUUGUACAGAGAAAUUAGAUUACGUUGGAGAGGGAGGGGAAUGUUGGGGGGAAAGUGUCUAAUAGCAUUUUCAUGAAACCUAGUGGAGGGGACAUUAAGUGGUCUGUCUGUUCUAAACAGCAAAGCACUGGAGAAAUGAGGAUGUUUGUCCUUGCAGCUCUCCUGCAUGGAUAACUGCUAGGCAGGUUGGUCUCAUUUAAUCGUACUCAUUGGACUCACAGGUUAAUUUCUUGAGAUACUGAAAUAUUAAAUCCUGGAUUUUCAGUACUGUGUGACAUGAUGCAGUGUUUGUCCUCAGGCCAUUUCAGCAGUGUCUGAGACUAUUUCAGGUGUGCUCUGAUGGCCUACAGGGGGGCCAAGACAGGAGCUUUGUCACCUGGCUUGUUAAAGCUCUCCCAAAUUUGAUUCAGUAGUCAGAUUGUUGGGGUAUUUGACUGUGAGCAUGUAAAGGAUGAGCCUGGAUUUAAUCUGCCCCAUGACUCCUGUUUUGUAAAUAAAGCAGGGCCACCCUGAGUGCAGGUGUAUGGUUUUUCUCUCUUGGCUUUUCUGUUUGUUAGUUUGGAGGAAGUCAGAUAGUAAUUUAUCUUUGUAAUACAGUGAAGCAGAGUUUGAAUCAAGGCCCUUGUGUUUCUAAGAGGUAAGGAUGAGUGCCUUUGAAAAGAAAGACUCCUUGUGUGUUAGAAGGAAGACUUUCAAGUCUGUAGUGGUGUGGACAUUUAUAUAUGUAUAUAUAUGUUUAUAUGCAUUCCUUUAUUUCUUGUUGCUUCUCCCCCCUGCCCCCCUUCCUCCUGUCCUGCACCACAGCUGUAGCUUUGAAUUGCAGGAAGGGGGGUUUUUUAUGCUGAAAUAUGAACCUGAGGUUGGUGUGACUGUGCUGCUCCCCUUCCCUUGCACCUUCUCCAGCCCUGGUUCUGAAACCUGCAUUAAUCCAUGUGUGCUAGCAGUGUAGCUCACUUCCCCAGGCACACAUCAUCACUGAAGUCAUUUUAUGAGAGUACAAGUCUUUAUUUAGUAGAAUUAUAAAAGAUCUUUACAUGAGAAAUACAAAAAUAGGAAAUAGGCUUUAAAUCUCCUUAGUUAAAAGUACUUUUUUUCUUUAGGCUGUAGAAAUAGUAAAUUGCUCUCAUACACUGUAAAACUAGGAAAAACCUUACAGUGAAGUGUUCCAGUACAGUCACUGUAAGUGCCCAAUCGCUCACACACAGAACAGUCCAUGAUUUAUUAGUUGGAGACACAAUGGCACAACCAGAUCAAUCUCCACUUUUCCUCUAGCUAAUGAAUUUUUUGAAAGAUGCAGUAUAACUUUUCCAGUUGUUAUAAUAUGAUUAAAUAUAAACACAAAAAUGAUUAAGGAAGAUUUGGCAUGCUUUGUACUCGUACCACUUUUUACUAGGAAGUGGUAUCAAAACAGUUAUUAAAUAAAUAUAAAUAUGUUAAAUAAAUACAUUGCACACCACACACCCACCUCUGUCAAAUUAGAAAUCAGCAUUUCUUCGCACACAUUUGAUGCUUUGUGUCACAGCUUUAGGGCCAAAGAAGAGAAAUACUGCAUCUUUAGAAACACAGGUUCCCAUGGACAUAAAGCAGAAAAUGAGGUAACUUUGCAGCUUUCUUCCUCCUAUCAAUUCACUGCUUGAUACGUCUCAGUUCCCAUUCAGCUUCUUUUACCCAGGACUCAUUUCUUACCUCUGGCUCUGCAGCUGCCACUCCUUUUCCUUAGAAGAAAGGAAGGAAUGCUUGCAGUGGGUGAAUCAUUACCAUUUCAGGAGCAGUUCCUUGCUGACAUCAGCGUAUCUCCUGAAGUUACUUGCGCAGAUGCUGGUUUAAGUCAAGUACUGCUCUAGCUCUCCUGUGAAUACUGGCUGACAUUAAAACAGUGAGGUUUGCGAAGCCUUUAACUUUUUUCAAGUUUUCUAACUUCAUCUGCUCCAAUAGGAGGUUCUGUUUCCAGGUAAUGCUGAUUUAACAAGGGUGAGUCUUUUUAGAGGUUUUGCCUCACUAAAAACAAUUCCCUCUCCCCUCACUGCAGUGUGCCUAAUGCAGUGUGGCAGUAGUGCAAUGGCAGGCUCUGAUUUGCUGCAACUAAAAGGUUCCUUUUGCGGGUCCCACCCCCUAGUAAUUCUAUAAUUUCAGUUACUGUAUUUUGAUUCUUUGCAGUAAAACAUAACAUCAAGUACAGUAUAGGGAUAGUGGAUGAUGGUUAUAUCUAGCUUUUGCUCUCCCUCUUCGCUUAUCCUGAGACCUUCCUUGGGAUAACUCCAGCACCAGGGUUCAUUGCUUUUGCAGCUUCAUUGCUCCUUGGUCUCCUACUAUCUCCUGAUCCAGUGCAGGCACAGUACAAGGCACUUCUUGGAAGCUUGGUUUCCUCAAAGAGACAAUCAGCUCUUUGAUCCUGCUUUUCCCUGCAAAAGGUAGGCCUGUUUCAAAGCCUUGUGCUUGGAAUGUUGGUUCCAGAGAAGAAAGCUUGCUCUGCUCUCAAACAGCAUCUCCUGCAAUGCUCUUCUCUGCAGAGUCCUGAUCAUAGUAGUGCUGAAACAGUCUUUCGUGGCAGCAGAUAUGCAUUGCAUGAGAACUCCCUGCCGUUCUGACAAGACACCAUUUGUUACCUGUCUGAAGAGGAACAGUGAUGUGCUCCCUCCAGUCCAUCUUCACCACCUCUCUUCCUCCUCUUUCUAACUGCUUGACUAUUGGACCAUCUAAAGCUUCUUUCUCUAUCCGGUCACUGACAUCCUGGAAGAGACACUCCAGUUAUUUUCAGUGGUAUUCCUAAGCAUUUCCCAGUUAUUUCAAAUUACAGCUUCUGGCCUCCUGCUAUUGGAGGUGAUUCUACUUUGGGACAAAUACUAUGCAAGGAAUAAUGCUUGGGAUGAAGAUGGUGAAAUACAGUCACAGAGGACUAUCUGCCAAAAGCUGUAUUUCUUUUUAAUCACUGAAUAGAAAAGACUGGAAAGAACCUCAAGUCCUCACGCAGUUCCCACCCCAUGCUUAAUACACACAUUCACCACAGCAGUCUACUCUGUUCAUAAAAACUGGCUUGGCAACAUGUUAUCCUGCAUUGUGUCACCUCAAACAUGCACAAAAUAGGGAUGAGAACAGUGAAUUCAAGAUCUGAUGGUCGAGACAAACCUGAAAAAACCGGAGCUGCUUUUCUAAACUCCAAAAGAAUGGGUGUUUUAGCACACAGCUGGCAGAUGGACGUUUCUGAGGGUCCAUGUUUAUCAUUUGCUCUAUUAAAUCACGAGCCACUAUGUCUUCUGCAAGGAAAAGGGUGAGCAUUCAGAAGCUGCAGGGAAAGCUAAUAUUCUGUAUGAAAAUGGUUAAAUUUCCUAUUUCCUCCUAUGCAAUCCCAAGCAAGAGCUCAAAUGACACCCUCACAGAUACUGUAGGCAACCAACAGAAGGUUACAUUGCAUCAAUGCAAUUAGGAAGAUCUUUCCUACCCUUUAAACUCUACUGUCAAGCUUGCAGGAAUCUAGAUUUUUCCAACUAACUGAGAUGCUUUUGGAGAAGAAUACUAAGAACUUCAGGAGCUUCACUGCAGGAGUACAGCUUUCACCAUUGCCAAGUGGGUUUCACUGUGGGUUUCAGUUUUGCCUUUUCUAUGACAAUUUUAGCACCCACUGGAUACUCACUGAGUUCAGCAGUGAUCUUUGUUUGCCUUUCUUACCGUGCCUCCCUGCAUCCAACAAUUCCAGGCUGUAUGCACCCAGCAGAAUGUUGGCUUGUCGCUGUAGAGAUUUGCCAAAGGGGUGGCUGCCCUCAGAUACCACAUAGUAAAAGACACAGCCUGCUGAAAAGAUGUCCACGGUGUACGUCUGCAAAUAAGCAAUAAUUUAUUAUUUAAUUAAUAAUAAUUGUUUAUUAUUUAAUUAAAAGCAACAAGAUUUUUCCUGUGGA
Molecule: long non-coding RNA, 10459 nt
Organism: Lagopus leucura (white-tailed ptarmigan)
Lineage: Eukaryota; Metazoa; Chordata; Aves; Galliformes; Phasianidae
Exons: 2
Source: RefSeq, a predicted model, not a curated record